UCCAAAUUGGAUGAAGAGGGGAUGGAGGUUGCUGUGUGUCACCAUGGGUUUCUUCUGAAAGCCCUUAAUAUGUACAGGGGAGAGAUAUUUGCCUACCCUCUGUAUCUUCAGAAGGAGCUCAUGCCAGCCAAGGCAAAAUUAUUUGCGAUGGAUGGGGCUUGCAAAUAUUGGCCAUAUUUGGAGAAAGCUGCUAGAGUCCUUCCUGCUCUUCAGGAGCUCACCGAAAUGAAACCAUUCCUCAGUGUAAUGCAUGCUCGAGCCCAUGCUACAAAGUGUGAGAUUAAAUGGAAUGGUAGGAACCAGGAAGGAGCAGGAACAACAGCUGGUGAGGAGGUGGAGCAAGUGAACAGCUACCUCUCACGUUGUGCCCUGACGACCAAAUAUAUGUCUAAAGCAGCACGGGUGGACAUGCUUACCAUGCAUGCAAUGGGGUGGAACCACAAAAAAAGUCUCUCUCUACAUCAGGCACUUUCCACAAGAUAUGUGAAGAGACACCAGAUACAUCUCAUGCCAGCACCACACACAGAGAACUUCAGCAGUCAACUGAGGGGCUUUAUCUUAGUGUGAGGCAGCGGAAGCAAACCCUCUACCGCCAGAAUGUAAAGAGAAGAACAGUUAUCAGCCCAACUCAGACACAAGUCAAUACAGCGAACAAGCAUCGGGCUUACAUCAUAACAAAAAUACAAAAUGCUAACCACAAGCAACAACGCCAAGACCUGAACACACACUGAGCCCCUCAGCGCAGCACGCCGAGAGACCUUUAAUCAGCAGGCUGACAUCGGAUUGGCUGCAGAGACCACGCCCUUAAUGAUGAUCGACAGCCGCCUCCUCCAUUCAGCAGAUACCUGAGAGCAAAGACGACAGCCUAGAGAACGAUGGAAGCUACUCAAAGGACUGUGUUGAAGGAAAUGGACUCGCCCUAUAUUUGUGUAUUAUCAGUAUGCUGAUUGAUUAACCACAUCCAAAUCUGGAUGCAUCCUAUAUUGUUGAAAAUUGAUGAAUUGAAGGUGAACUAAACAAUUGAGAAAGAAAACUGGUUGCGUAACAUUAUUUUUGAUCUGCACAAUGCGCGCAUUCAUCUUUAAGUGACUGCAGCCUAUAUUCCUGCUGCUUUCUGUGUCAUGAAUGUCAAUGAAACAACAAAAGACAAAGAUAAAAAUCACUUUUGUAGUUUUCACACAGAUUAAUUCUAUUUAAUUUAUACAGUGAAAAAUAUGCAAAAAAAAAA
Long non-coding RNA from Cyprinus carpio carpio, 1228 nucleotides. Lineage: Eukaryota; Metazoa; Chordata; Actinopteri; Cypriniformes; Cyprinidae. The record is from Ensembl.